This 497-nucleotide ribosomal RNA is filed under the name uncultured bacterium. RNAcentral's name for it is "partial 16S ribosomal RNA". It matches the Rfam family "Bacterial small subunit ribosomal RNA", at positions 28 to 507 of the family's 1533-position model. The record is from RNAcentral.
GAUGAACGCUGGCGGCGUGCCUAAUACAUGCAAGUCGAGCGAACGGACGAGAAGCUUGCUUCUCUGAUGUUAGCGGCGGACGGGUGAGUAACACGUGGAUAACCUACCUAUAAGACUGGGAUAACUUCGGGAAACCGGAGCUAAUACCGGAUAAUAUUUUGAACCGCAUGGUUCAAAAGUGAAGGACGGUCUUGCUGUCACUUAUAGAUGGAUCCGCGCUGCAUUAGCUAGUUGGUAAGGUAACGGCUUACCAAGGCAACGAUGCAUAGCCGACCUGAGAGGGUGAUCGGCCACACUGGAACUGAGACACGCUCCAGACUCCUACGGGAGGCAGCAGUAGGGAAUCUUCCGCAAUGGGCGAAAGCCUGACGGAGCAACGCCGCGUGAGUGAGGAAGGUCUUCGGAUCGUAAAACUCUGUUAUUAGGGAAGAACAUAUGUGUAAGUAACUGUGCACAUCUUGACGGUACCUAAUCAGAAAGCCACGGCUAACUACGUG